GACGAACGCUGGCGGCGUGCUUAACACAUGCAAGUCGAACGGAAAGGCCCUGCGUUUGUGGGGUGCUCGAGUGGCGAACGGGUGAGUAACACGUGAGUAACCUGCCCUUGACUUUGGGAUAACUUCAGGAAACUGGGGCUAAUACCGGAUAGGAGCUCCUGCUGCAUGGUGGGGGUUGGAAAGUUUCGGCGGUUGGGGAUGGACUCGCGGCUUAUCAGCUUGUUGGUGGGGUAGUGGCUUACCAAGGCUGUGACGGGUAGCCGGCCUGAGAGGGUGACCGGCCACAUUGGGACUGCGAGACGGCCCAGACUGCUACGGGAGGCAGCAGUGGGGAAUAUUGCACAAUGGGCGGAAGCCUGAUGCAGCAACGCCGCGUGCGGGAUGACGGCCUUCGGGUUGUAAACCGCUUUCGCCUGUGACGAAGCGUGAGUGACGGUAAUGGGUAAAGAAGCACCGGCUAACUACGUG
Molecule: ribosomal RNA, 468 nt
Filed under: uncultured bacterium
Lineage: Bacteria
Description: partial 16S ribosomal RNA
Rfam family: Bacterial small subunit ribosomal RNA
Source: RNAcentral